This 437-nucleotide ribosomal RNA is filed under the name uncultured bacterium. Its description in RNAcentral is "partial 16S ribosomal RNA". It matches the Rfam family "Bacterial small subunit ribosomal RNA", at positions 29 to 507 of the family's 1533-position model. The record is from RNAcentral.
AGCGAACGCUGGCGGCAGGCUUAACACAUGCCAGUCGAGCGGGCAUCCUUGUGGUGUCAGCGGCAGACGGGUGAGUAACGCGUGGGAACGUGCCCUUCGGUUCGGAAUAACUCAGGGAAACUUGGGCUAAUACCGGAUACGUGCGAGAGCAGAAAGGUUUAUCUGCCGAAGGAUCGGCCCGCGUCUGAUUAGCUAGUUGGUGAGGUUACGGCUCACCAAGGCGACGAUCAGUAGCUGGUCUGAGAGGAUGAUCAGCCACACUGGGACUGAGACACGGCCCAGACUCCUACGGGAGGCAGCAGUGGGGAAUAUUGGACAAUGGGGGCAACCCUGAUCCAGCCAUGCCGCGUGAGUGAUGACGGCCUUAGGGUUGUAAAGCUCUUUUCUCCGGGACGAUAAUGACGGUACCGGAGGAAUAAGCCCCGGCUAACUUCGUG